UGCCCAGCAACUCCUAUCCCUACCUCCUCGCAAUACUGGCCGGGGUUCGAGUAAGCUUACGGAAGAUCGGGUAACCAACCCCGGUGGAAACUUUGGUCGUAUGCUGACAGGGAAAG
Molecule: ribozyme, 116 nt
Filed under: Aedes aegypti (yellow fever mosquito)
Lineage: Eukaryota; Metazoa; Arthropoda; Insecta; Diptera; Culicidae
Description: drz-agam-1 ribozyme
Rfam family: drz-agam-1 ribozyme
Source: Rfam by way of RNAcentral